This is a long non-coding RNA of Monodelphis domestica (gray short-tailed opossum), 3602 nucleotides long. RefSeq lists it as uncharacterized. The record is from RefSeq and is a predicted model, not a curated record. Lineage: Eukaryota; Metazoa; Chordata; Mammalia; Didelphimorphia; Didelphidae.
CAAAGUAGCUUAUAUAGUGUUACACUUGGACAAAGGGUUGUCACCAGUUCUGAAUCUGGCUGUGAUCCCAAAGCAGCGUGUAUGUGAAGGUUGCUCACUUAGUGGAGACAUGUCAUCUGGCAACCUCUACUGCUUGUCCUGUGAGAGUACUGUCAUUCACUUGGCUGUGAUGACUCCUAGAGAUAUGGGUGAUAUCAUUCCAAGGGAGUGAUCCUGCAUCAUUUUUUUUGAACUGGUCAAAGAGGAUGUUCUAUUGGGUAGAGAGAGUGGCCUGUCCUUACAGAGCAUGGACCCAACUGGCAAGAAUAUAGGAGAGAAAAAUGAUUCAAAGACAGUAAGGCUAUCCUUAUACACUGAAUCAAGCAGCAUCUUUUGGACUACCAGAGAUUUUAAUAAGACUGGAAUGAUGAGCCAGGCCCUUGGAAUGAGAUGGAAGUAUUCUACAACCUAGGGGAAAGUAUGGUCAUUCAACACAAUAGAAGAAUUCCAAGCAUGCAUAAAGAAAAGACCAGACCUAAACAGAAAAUUUGAUGUCCAAGCACAGAACUCAAGAGAAUCAUCAAAAGGAGAUCCUGCUUUCUAGGGCACUUGGACCAGCAGUGCUAUGGUCUCCAAAGAUACUCUCUCUCCAACAAGUAGGAAGCAAACAGAAGAUCCCACGAGAUUUUUUAUAAAAUAAUCUUCUUAACCUCCUCCGAAUCUGAAUAACUCAAAUGAAAAUAGGUGCUUGCCUCUUUAAACUGUUCAUACACCAAAGAAACUCAAAUUACCGUCUGAAAGUUAUGAUACUUAGACACGAGGGUAUAGUAGAGUCGGCUCAAACUAAUGCUGAAGGGCUGAUUGUUAAAGUUUUAGUGUGACCAUUUGUACCAUAAAAAUGGACAAAUGCUAUAAAUCAGGGGUUGAUUUAUUGUUAUUGCUCAGACUUGAAUGGAGAAGAUGUUAAUAAUGAAGAUUAAAUGCAAAAUCAUGUCCUGAAUGCAUUUCCUCCAUCCUUGGUCUUCUGCUAAACUUUUACCAGUUUAUCAGAGCCUAGAAUUUAUCCCUAAGGUAUCAAACACUAUAGGUCCUUAAUAAAUUUUGUUGUUUGAAUAAAAAAAAAUAUUCUGUACUCUUAAGUAAUUUACAUUUUUUAAAAAAUCCUUUACCUUCUGUCUUAGAAUUGAUACUGUGCAUUGGCUCUAAGGCAGAAGAACAGUAAGGACUAGUCAAUUAAGGUCGAGUGAUUUGCCCAGGAUCGCCCAUCUAAGAAGUAUCUGAGGUUAGAUUCAAACCCAGGACCUCCCUGUCUGCAGACCUGACUUUCUAUCCACUGAGCCAUCUACCUGCCCUAAGAGGUUUACAUUCUAAUAGAUUCAGAAUAAAUAAAAUCAUGAGUAGAGUUUGUUUUUUUUAGCUUUUUUUCCCUAAAAGAUCCUGGUAUUAGUUAUCCUAUUACCCUUAAUAUUACAAAGAAGGCUGAAUCAGCCCAUUCUUUGAUACUGUGCUAGCUUGGUAGGCAAUGUCAGGCAGCUAGAGGGUGCCAUAAUGCCCCAGCCUUAGAUCAGGUAGAUUUAUAAGCUCAAGACCCACCUCAGACACUUUGUAGCUGUGUGACUCAGGACAACUCUCUUUUGCUCUCUGCCUCAGUUCUCUCAUCUGUAAAAUGAUGAUAUUAAUAGCACCUACCUCCUGGGUUUGGUGUGAGGAACAGUGAGACAAUAUUUGUAAAACACUUAGCAAAUCUUAAGGCACUCUUCACAAAUGCUGCCUUUUGUUCCUUAAAGGAAUGUUCAUGAGUGCAGUGUAUGUGGGGAAGAGGGGAGGAACAGGUGUAUUUUCCCUGACUCUUCCCUAUUUUCAUUUUCUCAAUUCAACAGCAAACAUUCUUAGAGAGUGGUAACUGGCAAUCUUAGCCUUGACGUAGAUGCCAGUAAGAAAUAAUAGUUCUUUAAAAAAAAUGGGACUUGAAAAUGAAUUACAUUUCAAUUUUUUUAAAUCCAAAAGGGUUUGGACAAAUACCCAAACACUUCCUGUAUUAAGUCUAUGACUCAAAAAAUCCUGAGGUAAAUCCUUAAGUAAAUACACCUGGCAUUCUUCAAUGUGACUAUUGCCAGCAGCCCUGUUGGGUGUGUUCAGCCCAGGUUGGAAAAAGGUCUAGAAUUUUUUUUCCUUUUUAAGUAAUUAUUACAGUAGUCUUUGUUGUCAUUAGGGAAGUAAGAAGUUAUUUGUUCCAUAGGCACUCGCUAAAUGCACUAUUUUACUGAAUUUUGUUACUAGAGCUUAGCAGAAAACCUAGCACAAAGCAUGUGCAUAUUCAAUACUUUGGUAGAUUGCACAAACCCUGACUUACUGAUACACAACUUUGUAUAGUCAACAGACCUAGAGAGCAGAUAGAGCAUGACACUGGUCCUCAGCCCCAUCCCCACCCCUAACACCUUGGUUUCACCAAUUGUCUUUUCUCCCUUGCCUUGAUGAGAGGGAAUAUAUUUCAUGAGUUUACCUUGGUGAUUGGGAGAAGGAAGGUGGGGAUGGUUCAGAUAAAGAAAACUGUUCCCAGUUCUCCAGUAAUCUUAUUAUAUAUCUCUCAUAAGUUGUGCCAGGCUCUUGGAUUAUGUCUAACAAAUAUCUGGCAUGCCUUAUCAAAAUGACAUUUUGGAUUUCAUAAUCAACUCUUCUAAUUGAGAAAUCUAGUAUCUCUCAGUAGAUUAUGAAAUUCAGUGUUGUAUUAUUUUACAACAGACUAUUUGUGUGCUUUUAGAGCAGAUGCUUUAAAUGUAAAAGUCUAUGCUUGCUUCACCUGCUGCCAAGCAUCCAUUUCUUAGGAUAAGUUUAGAAGCAUUGGAAGGGGAUUCCUAGAGGCUGUCUAGUGCAACGUACUCAUUUUACAGAUGAAGAACUGAGGACCAGAGAUGUUAAGAGAUGUUCCUAGAGUUACAUAGUAAGUGUCAGAGUUGAGAUUUGAACCAAGACUUCCUGACUUUAGGUCUAUGCCAUUUCUCUUGUAGUGAUUUUUCCCUUGUAUACAUCUUGGUUUUACAAUGGACCAUAGCCAAAGGUUAAAACCAAGGCUGACAACUGAUGCCUGUCUUAACGUGCUAGACGUAAUCGUAUUCAAGCCACGAUACCAGCAUUUAGCUUUUUGGAUUGCCAUGUUUACACUGGGAAAUUGGAAUGAGGACCUGCUAGUUCUACUGAUAAAGAAUCUACAUUUUGAGAGUAACUUGCUUGUCAUUUUCUCAUUUGGGGAACAUAAAAGCAUAAGAACUUGAAAGGACAGUGACCUCUUCAAGAAUGGAGCAUUACAGCAACUUGAUCAAUUGCAUGCUGCCCCUACAUUAUUCAUUUCUAUUUUAAUUUUUGUUUUUUUUUUCCUGUUUCCAUGAUUUAUUUUCUUCCCCUCUCCCCUCCCAGAACCAACAAACAAUUCCACUGGGUUAUAAAAAUGUCAUCAUUUUUUCCUCUGGAUGUGGAUAGUAUUCUUUCUCAUAGAUCCCCUCUGGUUGUUCAGGGUCACUGCAUUGCCACUAAUGGAGAAGUCCAUUACAUUCGAUUGUACCACAGUGUAUCAGUCUCUGUGUACAAUGUUUUCCUGGUUCUGCUCCUUCCACUCCAUAUCAGUU